RNAcentral lists this ribosomal RNA (301 nucleotides) under uncultured bacterium. RNAcentral's name for it is "partial 16S ribosomal RNA". It matches the Rfam family "Bacterial small subunit ribosomal RNA", at positions 509 to 807 of the family's 1533-position model. The record is from RNAcentral.
CAGCCGCCACGGGAAUACGAAGGGGGCUAGCGUUGUUCGGAAUUACUGGGCGUAAAGGGCGCGUAGGCGGCCAUUCAAGUUAGAUGUGAAAGCCCUGGGCUCAACCUAGGAAUUGCAUUUGAUACUGUUUGGCUUGAGUUCGGGAGAGGUGAGUGGAAUUCCCAGUGUAGAGGUGAAAUUCGUAGAUAUUCGGAAGAACACCAGUGGCGAAGGCGGCUCACUGGCUCAUUCUAGACGCUGAGGUGCGAAAGCGUGGGGAGCAAACAGGAUUAGAUACCCCUGUAGUCCCUGUCUCUUAUAC